UUGUAAAGCCUUUGCAAACCUUAAAACUAGAUAAAUACUAGCUAUUGUUAUUAUUGGAUAAGUCAUUCUCAAUCAACUUGAUGAGACUACAGGGUCUGGAUCUUUGUCAGAAGCUCAGCCCUAUCUCCUUGUUGAGAGGAGACAGGGAACUUCCCUCAUGUGGUCCCCAGUGAAUGGAGCUGCCUCCAAGAUGACUGAUGAGCCUUGUCACAGGAGUUAGGUCCUCUGUGGCAUAUAAGAGCGACCUGGGGAACCUCCCAUCCUUUUUCUUGUCCUGACCUUUCUCUCUCUCAGAUUUCCAUACCAAAGUGCACAGUUAUUGGAGGGGGAUAUUUCCCUGUUUUUUCUUCACCACCUUCCUCCUCCCCCCACCCCCUACCCCCAGAAGAAAACUGCUACUUGCAGGAGAAAGACAAGCCAAAGCAGUCUGGGUUUGCCUUGGGGAACCUGAGCAGGGCAUUUCUAGACCCAGGCUUGUCUGCCUCCUUCUUUCUGUUUUCCCUUCGGAGCACAGGCGACGAUUGGCACUUCUAAGAAUGAGGAUUUCUAGGCUUGAGGGUUACUUUAUGGGUAAUCCUGAGUUUGGGAGUUUUCAAGUUAGGGAAACUGAGCUCAAGAAUCAGGCACCAGCCUCCCUAAGGGAGAAGAUAGGGAUCUGGGACAGAAGCCUGCCCUGUGGCUGACGGUGUACACAAGCCCUUGACAAUCCCUUGGGUAUUAUACUAGAGUGCUGAUGGUGCAGGUGUAAAAGGAGUGGGGAAUGUUUGUUAUUCAGCCCCAGAGUGUCUUUACCUUCUAGGCGGGCCCCCAAGGCCCAGGAGACCACAAUGAAGCAGACUGGACUCACUUAGACCAGGGCGCUUCCUUCUGGGGCAAGGGGGAGAAGGAGCUGGGCUGAAUCCAAAAAUGGCCAGAGUCUGUCUCAAGGCCUGCCUCAACCUAUGUCCUUCCAGGAAAAGUGUUGAAAACAAUGCUUAAGUAUGGUUCAUAUCUAGAGUUUUCCCCAACAGGUGGGUAUCAGAGACCAUUCCCACAAAGGUACUCAAUGUUCAAUAGGGAUACUGGGUAUGGGACAGUCUUAACUUCACUUCACAGAAAGACGUGCAUGUGCACAGAAAACAAACCAUCUCUAAUAAGCCACUUAACUACUCCUGGAAGGUAAAGACAGGUCUGUGAGAGGGACUGCUGAAUUAGGCUCUUUUGCACUCACUUUGCAUCCACACUUGCCAAGUAACUUGUGAGACCCAUUCUUUCGGAAUAUCACUGUAGCAGCUGAGAGGAGGAGGGCUUGGAGACUCGAAACAGUUAGAAGGGUACUGUGGCAGUCCAGACACGAGGUGACGAGGGCCUGCCCUGAGAUGGCAGCUCUGGGAGAACAGAGUUGUUGUGACAGCAGAAACAAGAACUGGCUGGAUAUGGGGGGUGAAUGGGAGCAAGAAGUCGAGGAUGACAGGGUUUUUUGAGCCUGGUUUGAUGCCUAAAUCCUACACUCAGAAACUCUUGACCCACAAACUUCUGUUCCUCAGAAUCACCAGCAGCUGACCUCAGAAAAGGAACUAAAAAAAAGGCCGAAGAGGGCAGCUAGGGAUUCAAGGUCCAGCUUGCAGUUGCUAUGGACUUCUGCUGCAAGCUUCCAUUGCCUUGGAGAGAUUAGAGAGUCGGGAGGGGAGGAGGAAAAGUCCCAGAAAGUCUGUACAUCUGAGGAAAAGGAAGUACUGGAAAAGAACUGCGAGUUAAGAAGUCGUCAGGCAUUUCUUAAAGUGACAGCUAUGUGUGUGCCAGACACACGUGCUAGGAGCUGGGGAUACAAAGAAAGGCCAACAAACAAGCCCCAGUCCUAGCUCUUCAGCAGCUCACCCUCUAAUGGGUCAGACCAGAGGGAAACAACUAAGUUCCCACAAGACGUAUAGAGGAUAAAUCAGGCCUAGUCUCUGCGGGAGGUCGCUGAGAUUCUUGAGAAGGACCGGGACAGGUUGCUUCCAGAAGGCGGGAUGUUAGCUGGGACGUGAAGAAAGCCAGGAUGAGGAUGGAGGGGGUUCCAGGCUUGGGGGGGCCGCCAGCGAAAACGUUCAGUUGGAAGAUGGAAUGUCCUGUGUGAGCAACAGUAAAAAGGCCUUUGUUUCUUGGAUCAGAGAAUACAUGGAGGGGAGUAAAGUGUAAGAAUGUCGGACAGAAAAAAAUGCAAAUGAAAAGCAGUCCUGAGGGCUUACCUCUUACCUGUACAAAGUGACUGAAUCACAAGCUAGGCCACACUGCACCUGGUGGAAAACCUCAGGCCUGCACAGAAUCCACAAGUCAACCUUGACCUUCUGCACGUCCACCUUCAUCGAAUGAAAGGAGCGAAGUGGUGUUCCUCCUGGGCACUGAUAACCCAGCCUGGCAUCAUUCCCCGCUCCUGCUCCCCGAGUGCCUGUGACUUUGUAUCCCCAACCCCUGCUGCCUGCACUCUCAUCCUGAAUCACCUCAACCCCUAUAAUGGCCUAUUCCACACCUGCCUGCCCCGUCUACUGAGCCCUUUGAGACGCCCUUUCUAUAAAACUAACAAACUUUGCUUUGUUUUAGAGCUCUUCUUAUGCUCCUUCCAUACAGUGUGUUUCACUGAAACCUGACUUCCUUCCAGAUGACACUGCAUCCCUGGCUGAACCUUCUCUCCCACUUCUAAACCACUGGUCUUAAAGGAGGGAUUGAAAUAAUCUUUGUAUCCCUACUGCCCUUUCCAGAUUUUCCUUCCAUCAUCAUCAUUUACCAACCUCUCCUCCUAUGAGGGUCACACCAUCUAAAUGUUAUCCCCCAGUCCAGAUUCUGGUGGCUGUUAAUUAUCUGGCCCCAGGGCAUUCUUCCUCCUUUCUCAAUUAAGUUCAGGGCCUGGCUCACAAAUCUCCUUUUCGCUCCAACUCCAGCCCUCACACCAGCAGACUUCAAUAUACAUGCUAAUGUUCCCUCCAAUGCCCUAAGCUCCCAGUCCUUCAAUUACUCAACUCUUGGCGACCUACUAAUCUGCUACACCUGGGGGAUAAGAACCAUCCAUUUUGAUCUCGCCAUCUCCCAAAAGUGUUCUUUUCUAUGAUCAAGAACUCUGACAUUUACCUGAUUAAAAUCUAUUUUUCCACCCUUUCCUUUGCUUUACUUUUCGGAAACCUCAUCCUCAUCCUUCACCGUCUGGACCUUAUCCAGCCCUACAGCCCCCUAGUCCUCUUCUGGGCUUUCACCUCUUUUCCUGGCUGCACUUUUCUUCCUUUCCAAGGUCAACUCCUUAGGAAACCAGUCCAACAGUACAUUCUCUGCUCUCCAAGCCUUGCCUUGUAGUGCUUGAACCUUGUCAAACUCCAACCGUGGACUACUCCCACCAGCCAUCUCCUCCACUCCUGGUCAUGGGCUGCCAAACAGAAUUCCAGU
This is a non-coding RNA of Phascolarctos cinereus (koala), 3396 nucleotides long. Lineage: Eukaryota; Metazoa; Chordata; Mammalia; Diprotodontia; Phascolarctidae. The record is from RefSeq and is a predicted model, not a curated record.